UGCCAGCCGCCGCGGUAAUACAGAGGUCCCAAGCGUUGUUCGGAUUUACUGGGCGUAAAGAGUGCGUAGGCGGUUAAAAAAGUUUGGUGUGAAAUCUUCGGGCUUAACCCGGAAACUGCAUUGAAAACUAUUUGACUAGAGGAUCGGAGAGGAGAUUGGAAUUCUCAGUGUAGCAGUGAAAUGCGUAGAUAUUGAGAGGAACACCAGUUGCGAAGGCGGAUCUCUGGACGAUUCCUGACGCUGAGGCACGAAAGCUGGGGGAGCGAAGAGGAUUAGAUA
Molecule: ribosomal RNA, 279 nt
Filed under: uncultured bacterium
Lineage: Bacteria
Description: partial 16S ribosomal RNA
Rfam family: Bacterial small subunit ribosomal RNA
Source: RNAcentral